GUGGGGAAUAUUGGACAAUGGGGGGAACCCUGAUCCAGCCAUGCCGCGUGUGUGAAGAAGGCCUUUUGGUUGUAAAGCACUUUAAGCGAGGAGGAGGCUACCGAGAUUAAUACUCUUGGAUAGUGGACGUUACUCGCAGAAUAAGCACCGGCUAACUCUGUGCCAGCAGCCGCGGUAAUACAGAGGGUGCAAGCGUUAAUCGGAUUUACUGGGCGUAAAGCGCGCGUAGGUGGCCAAUUAAGUCAACUGUGAAAUCCCCGAGCUUAACUUGGGAAUUGCAUUCGAUACUGGUUGGCUAGAGUAUGGGAGAGGAUGGUAGAAUUCCAGGUGUAGCGGUGAAAUGCGUAGAGAUCUGGAGGAAUACCGAUGGCGAAGGCAGCCAUCUGGCCUAAUACUGACACUGAGGUGCGAAAGCAUGGGGAGCAAACAGGAUUAGAAACCCCGGUAGUCC
This 451-nucleotide ribosomal RNA is filed under the name uncultured bacterium. RNAcentral describes it as "partial 16S ribosomal RNA". It matches the Rfam family "Bacterial small subunit ribosomal RNA", at positions 354 to 796 of the family's 1533-position model. The record is from RNAcentral.